GACGAACGCUGGCGGCGUGCCUAAUACAUGCAAGUCGAACGCAGUGGGGACGGGUGAGUAACACGUGGGUAACCUCCAAUCAGAGGGGAUAAAAAUUGGAAACAGGUGCUAAACCGAUACUGAUGGAUGGACCAGCGGUGAAUUAGCUAGUUGGUGAGGUAACGGCGCACCCAGGCACCGAUGCAUAGCCGGCCUGAGAGGGUGAUGGGCCACACUGGGACUGGUACACGGCCCAGACUCCUACGGGAGGCAGCAGUAGGGAAUCUUCGGCAAUGGACGAAAGUCUGACCGAGCAGCGCCGCGUGAGUGUAGAAGGUUUUCGGAUCGUAAAACUCUGUUGUUAGAGAAGCGGUAUCUAACCAGAAAGCCACGGCUAACUACGUGCCAGCCGCCGCGGUAAUUC
RNAcentral lists this ribosomal RNA (403 nucleotides) under uncultured bacterium. Its description in RNAcentral is "partial 16S ribosomal RNA". It matches the Rfam family "Bacterial small subunit ribosomal RNA", at positions 28 to 526 of the family's 1533-position model. The record is from RNAcentral.